RNAcentral lists this non-coding RNA (24 nucleotides) under Arabidopsis thaliana (thale cress). The record is from RNAcentral. Lineage: Eukaryota; Viridiplantae; Streptophyta; Magnoliopsida; Brassicales; Brassicaceae.
AGAGAGUUUUGCGGAACACCACCG